AGUGAACGCUGGCGGUAGGCCUAACACAUGCAAGUCGAACGGCAGCACAGUAAGAGCUUGCUCUUACGGGUGGCGAGUGGCGGACGGGUGAGGAAUACAUCGGAAUCUACUUUUUCGUGGGGGAUAACGUAGGGAAACUUACGCUAAUACCGCAUACGACCUACGGGUGAAAGCAGGGGAUCUUCGGACCUUGCGCGAUUGAAUGAGCCGAUGUCGGAUUAGCUAGUUGGCGGGGUAAAGGCCCACCAAGGCGACGAUCCGUAGCUGGUCUGAGAGGAUGAUCAGCCACACUGGAACUGAGACACGGUCCAGACUCUUACGGGAGGCAGCAGUGGGGAAUAUUGGACAAUGGGCGCAAGCCUGAUCCAGCCAUACCGCGUGGGUGAAGAAGGCCUUCGGGUUGUAAAGCCCUUUUGUUGGGAAAGAAAAGCAGCAGGUUAAUACCCCGCUGUUCGGACGGUACCCAAAGAAUAAGCACCGGCUAACUGCGG
RNAcentral lists this ribosomal RNA (491 nucleotides) under uncultured bacterium. RNAcentral's name for it is "partial 16S ribosomal RNA". It matches the Rfam family "Bacterial small subunit ribosomal RNA", at positions 29 to 506 of the family's 1533-position model. The record is from RNAcentral.